GGUAAAAUGGCCAAGGAUAAGCAUUGAACUAUAAAUUCAAAGACAGAGACUAGAUAUCUCUUUUUACCA
RNAcentral lists this transfer RNA (69 nucleotides) under Sarcophilus harrisii (Tasmanian devil). It matches the Rfam family "tRNA". From Rfam's summary of the family: Transfer RNA (tRNA) molecules are approximately 80 nucleotides in length. Lineage: Eukaryota; Metazoa; Chordata; Mammalia; Dasyuromorphia; Dasyuridae. The record is from Rfam by way of RNAcentral.